This 213-nucleotide long non-coding RNA is filed under the name Prunus persica (peach). Its description in RNAcentral is "long non-coding RNA (PPER_LNC003448)". Lineage: Eukaryota; Viridiplantae; Streptophyta; Magnoliopsida; Rosales; Rosaceae. The record is from RNAcentral.
GGGGAUAGAGGUAUCUGAUCAAUGUAAGCCGGAUAUGGUUUUCUGUAGGUGGGCCUUUCUCCUCUUCUGGCUUCAGGCUCCAUCAUUUCUCUUAUCAUUCUCAGCAGUGCCCCCAUGUCAUUCAAAGCAUUGAUAAGGUGUGGAUUUCGCCCCUGUUCUGGCUGGGUGUGGUCAAUCCUGUGCUCCAUUCUGCAUGGCCUGUGCAGAGCUUCC